GACGAACGCUGGCGGCGUGCUUAACACAUGCAAGUCGAACGGAAAGGCCCUGCUUUUGUGGGGUGCUCGAGUGGCGAACGGGUGAGUAACACGUGAGUAACCUGCCCUUUACUUUGGGAUAACUUCAGGAAACUGGGGCUAAUACCGGAUAGGAGCUCCUGCUGCAUGGUGGGGGUUGGAAAGUUUCGGCGGUUGGGUAUGGACUCGCGGCUUAUCAGCUUGUUGGUGGGGUAGUGGCUUACCAAGGCUUUGACGGGUAGCCGGCCUGAGAGGGUGACCGGCCACAUUGGGACGGAGAUACGGCCCAGACUACUACGGGAGGCAGCAGUGGGGAAUAUUGCACAAUGGGCGGAAGCCUGAUGCAGCAACGCCGCGUGCGGGAUGACGGCCUUCGGGUUGUAAACCGCUUUCGCCUGUGACGAAGCGUGAGUGACGGUAAUGGGUAAAGAAGCACCGGCUAACUACGUG
Molecule: ribosomal RNA, 468 nt
Filed under: uncultured bacterium
Lineage: Bacteria
Description: partial 16S ribosomal RNA
Rfam family: Bacterial small subunit ribosomal RNA
Source: RNAcentral